RNAcentral lists this ribosomal RNA (406 nucleotides) under uncultured bacterium. RNAcentral's name for it is "partial 16S ribosomal RNA". It matches the Rfam family "Bacterial small subunit ribosomal RNA", at positions 28 to 526 of the family's 1533-position model. The record is from RNAcentral.
GAUGAACGCUAGCUACAGGCUUAACACAUGCAAGUCGAGGGACCGGCGCACGGGUGCGUAACACGUAUCCAACCUGCCCUUUACUCGGGGAUAGCCUUUCGAAAGAAAGAUUAAUACCCGAUAUAAAGGAUGGGGAUGCGUGACAUUAGGUUGUGGGUGAGGUAACGGCGAACCAAGCCUUCGAUGGAUAGGGGUGCUGAGAGGAAGGUCCUCCACAUUGUAACUGGGACACGGUCCAAACUCUUACGGGAGGCAGCAGUGAUGAAUAUUGGUCGAUGUGUGCUAGCCUGAACCAGCCAAGUAGCGUGAAGAAUGCAGUCUUAUGGGUCGUAAACUUCUUUUAUAUAAGAAUAUGUAUUAUAUGAAUAAGGAUCGGCUAACUCCGUGCUAGCAGCCGCGGUAAUAC